This 362-nucleotide ribosomal RNA is filed under the name Gephyromantis luteus. RNAcentral describes it as "partial 16S ribosomal RNA". It matches the Rfam family "Bacterial large subunit ribosomal RNA", at positions 2006 to 2536 of the family's 2925-position model. The record is from RNAcentral. Lineage: Eukaryota; Metazoa; Chordata; Amphibia; Anura; Mantellidae.
GAGGGUUAUACUGUCUCCUUUCUCUAAUCAGUGAAACUAAUCUCCCCGUGAAGAAGCGGGGAUAAAACUAUAAGACGAGAAGACCCCAUGGAGCUUUAAACCUAGCCACACCCAGAAUCUUUAUACCUAACUAUUAUCUGAACCCUGUAAGCUAGGCUUUAGGUUGGGGUGACCGCGGAGUAAAACAAAACCUCCGCAAUGAACGAAACUACCGUCUUAUCUAAGAAUAAUCCCUCUAAGAAUUAGCACUCUAACAUAAAUGAUCCAAUUAUUGAUCAACGGACCAAGUUACCCUGGGGAUAACAGCGCAAUCCACUUCAAGAGCUCCUAUCGACAGGUGGGUUUACGACCUCGAUGUUGGA